Molecule: ribosomal RNA, 497 nt
Filed under: uncultured bacterium
Lineage: Bacteria
Description: partial 16S ribosomal RNA
Rfam family: Bacterial small subunit ribosomal RNA
Source: RNAcentral
GAUGAACGCUGGCGGCGUGCCUAACACAUGCAAGUCGAACGAAAGGACGAGAAGCUUGCUUCUUUGACGUUAGCGGCGGAGGGGUGAGUAACAUGUGGAUAACCCACCUAUAAGACGGGGAAAACCUAGGGAAACCGGAGCUAAUACCGGAUGAUAUUCUGAAGAGCAUGGUUGAAAAGUGAAAGACGGUCUUGCUGUCACUUAUCGCUGUAUCUGCGCUGCAUUAGCUAGUUGGUAAGGUAACGGCUUACCAAGGCAACGAUGCAUAGCCGACCUGAUAGGGGGAUCGGCCACACUGGAACUGGGACACGGUCCAGACUCCUACGAGAGGCAGCAGUAGGGAAUCUUCCGCAAUGGGCGGAAGCCUGACGGAGCAACGCCGCGUGAGUGAUGAAGGUCUUCGGAUCGUAAAGCUCUGUUAUUAGGGAAGAACAGAUGUGUAAGUAACUGUGCACAUCUUGACGGUACCUAAUCAGAAAGCCACGGCUAACUACGUG